RNAcentral lists this long non-coding RNA (891 nucleotides) under Marmota monax (woodchuck). Lineage: Eukaryota; Metazoa; Chordata; Mammalia; Rodentia; Sciuridae. The record is from RNAcentral.
GAGCUCCAACUUUUAGCCCACUGCCACAUUUGCUCAUUAGUUCAUUUGUGUUUUUUUUUUAUUUGCUUGUUUGUUGCUUUGUUUGUUUGUUUCAUUGAAUGCCUAAUAUCAUCCCACAAAGGAUUUAAGAUAACCCCCAAAUACAGAGGCCUCCAUAUUAAAAAUAGAUCAGUGAGGAAAUGGGGUAAAGGAAAUUUGAAAGUAGCAAGAAGUAUAACAGUACAAAGCCAGGAAGAGGUAAGAAGUACCUCAAAAUGCAGACCAUAAAGAGGCCAAUCUCUGUUGCAGAGUUCAGAUGACAUAUCACAUUGGGAUCACUUGAUCUCAAGACAAAAAUUCAAUUGUAUGGGGUAUGUCCUUUUAUUUCUUUUCUUUAAUCAAAUUAAGUGAGACACAAGCCCCCAAAUGACCAGGCUGAUGGGAAUCUUCAGUCUCCAUCAGCAAGGAACAUCCUAACUUCUUAGUGAUUUCCCCAAAUCAGGAAGCCUUAUCCAGGGCCCAGAAAAUGAUAGACAUUUGUGGGUUGCCCACCCAGGAUCCAUUGCCUUUUACCUUGUUCUUAACAACUCGAGAUUUUCUUUUGUAUAAUAGCAGCCAUAAGGUUUAGGUGAGAUGGAUACUGUCUUCAGGUAGGGAGGAAGGUCCUGUAGUCUAAGUCAGUUCUCAUAAUCUUAUCCCACCUGCCACUGUGCUUGGUUUGUGGUUUGCAUCAGACCAAUAACAGUGACCCUCAGGAUACUUGUUCUCUAACUGUGGGAACCAAUGGCUUCUACCCCAUAUGUGAAUCAGGAUACUGCAGCCCCACAGCUUGCAGAAGCAAUCCAAUAAACACAGAGAAGAGUCAUUCUGAGAACAAAGCUGCUACGUGGAAAAGUGAGCAGUAAAGAAAAU